This 217-nucleotide ribosomal RNA is filed under the name uncultured bacterium. RNAcentral describes it as "partial 16S ribosomal RNA". It matches the Rfam family "Bacterial small subunit ribosomal RNA", at positions 105 to 334 of the family's 1533-position model. The record is from RNAcentral.
UGGCGAGGUGAGUAACGCGUAAGAAUCUACCUUUAGGAGGGGGAAAACAACUGGAAACGGUUGCUAACACCCCAUAUGCUGAGGAGUAAAAUACAUUGUGCCUAGAGAUGAGCUUGCGUCUGAUUAGUUAGUUGGUAAGGUAAUUGCUUCCCAAGACUAUGAUCAGUAGCUGGUCUGAGAGGAUGAUCAGCCACACUGGGACUGAGACACGGCCCAG